Molecule: ribosomal RNA, 301 nt
Filed under: uncultured bacterium
Lineage: Bacteria
Description: partial 16S ribosomal RNA
Rfam family: Bacterial small subunit ribosomal RNA
Source: RNAcentral
CAGCCGCCGCGGUAAUACGAAGGGUGCAAGCGUUAAUCGGAAUUACUGGGCGUAAAGCGUGCGUAGGCGGUUUGUUAAGUCUGUUGUGAAAUCCCCGGGCUCAACCUGGGAAUGGCAAUGGAUACUGGCAAGCUAGAGUGUGUCAGAGGAUGGUGGAAUUCCCGGUGUAGCGGUGAAAUGCGUAGAGAUCGGGAGGAACAUCUGUGGCGAAGGCGACUAUCUGGGCCAACACUGACACUGAGGCACGAAAGCGUGGGGAGCAAACAGGAUUAGAUACCCCAGUAGUCCCUGUCUCUUAUAC